GAUGAACGCUAGCGGCAGGCCUAAUACAUGCAAGACUAGGGGGCAGCAAUGUCACCGUCGCACGGGUGCGUAACGCGUAUGCAACCUACCUAUCACAGGGGGAUAGCCUUUGGAAACAGGGAUUAAUACCGCAUAAAGCAGGGGCUCCGCAUGGAGAUAUUGCUAAAGAUUUAUCGGUGAUAGAUGGGCAUGCGUCUGAUUAGUUAGAUGGUGGGGUAACGGCCUACCAUGGCGAUGAUCAGUAGGGGGCGUCAGAGCGUGGUCCCCCACACUGGCACUGAGAUACGGGCCAGACUCCUACGGGAGGCAGCAGUAGGGAAUAUUGGGCAAUGGAUGCAAGUCUGACCCAGCCAUGCCGCGUGGAGGAAGAAGGUCCUCUGGAUUGUAAACUCCUUUUUUGGGGGAAGAAGAGACACCUUGCGAGGUGUUGUGACGGUACCCUAAGAAUAAGCCACGGCUAACUACGUG
Molecule: ribosomal RNA, 468 nt
Filed under: uncultured organism
Description: bacterial SSU rRNA
Rfam family: Bacterial small subunit ribosomal RNA
Source: RNAcentral